Doryrhamphus excisus (bluestripe pipefish) is the source of this 5764-nucleotide non-coding RNA. Lineage: Eukaryota; Metazoa; Chordata; Actinopteri; Syngnathiformes; Syngnathidae. The record is from RefSeq and is a predicted model, not a curated record.
AGAAGAAUUGCAUUGAGGGAAGUUGAGUGUCUCUUAUUUGCCUUUCUGUCAGCACCGCCUCCUGAUUGGCUGUACACCAUUUUAAAUCAAUCUCCUCGUGCCGACCUGCGGUUUCUACUGUGUCAUUGCUAGCUUGCAGUUUUUGUAUGUUUACAAGUUUUUCUCUGACAAAACCCACAAUGUUGAUGAAAUAUUAUGUGCCCACAUGGCAGAAGAGGAUGCUAACUAUAUCGCUGGACAUGCUGAAAGAAUGUAGAAGUUACUCGGCUGGACAAAAAAGCACAGACAGGCGAGUGAAACGAGGUGGCCACACCUGCUCUCAUGACCCUGAAGAGUGCGUUGACAUUAUUGCUCUUGAUGGCGUCCCGACAUGCUGAGAUCACUUGAUUCUUGGGUUUACCCACUGAGAAGAAGCAGAAAUGAAAACAAACAUGUGUUUGCGGAGCUCCAGCAGCAGGUUCUGUCUGCGAUGACUGAGCUCUCGAAUGAGAUCCUGUUCAGCGCUGGAGUCCAUGAGAUUCCCUUUCAGCUCUUUUGCAGCAGGCAGAGGCGGCGAUAAGUUGUUUCUGUCCAUCCAACCUGUAGUCUCCUUCCACUACUCCAGCCAUAGAAGAGGAGAAGUGGUCUCUGAAAAUGACUUCGCCUGUGCGGUCGCUUCGUGCAUCAAUCUGGGUUAAACAGGAAAGGGUUAGCAAUAAGUAACAGACGAAGAGGUAUGUGCUGCCUAUACUGACCUUUCCGUUGGACCAGCCAGCGAUGAGCUCCACGACUCCAUCAGCAUCCAAGUCAAAGGCGUGGAUGCUCAUAGCGUGAUUUUUAGACUACAUAGGGAAAGAUAAAAUAUUGCUAUAGAAAUGGCCUCUUAUUGUUAAAAAUAUUAUUAAUGACAUGAUCCUUUAACAUUUUAGAUGACAUAGUAAAAUACCUUGAUCCUCCAGUAGCGAGCACUGCCAUCGUACACUCCUACAGUGCCAUUAGCCAAGGCGUAACCAAACCUGCGACUGUGCAUGUGACACAGUGACGUUACUGUCUAUUUGGAGACAAAUAACCAGGAAAUCAAAUUUAUACCAGUCUGACAAUGUAUUGAAAUAACUAAGCAUUAUCAGCUUUGUAGUGGUCUCAAUUUUGUAUUCAUCCAUUAUUGAGUUGCACUUAUUUAUUGUAGGCUGGUCACGUGUAUGCAACGCAGCAAUGCAUUAUAGAGUGAACUUACCUCAUUUUCAGUCAUCUCACACACAAGUUCAUCCUCUUUGAAAACCCUGAUGUCAAAAUCUUCAGAUCCAACCAGGAGCUAAAAAAAAAAACACACCUUUGUAGUACCUUUCAGUAAUAUGAAAUAACCAUUCACAUACUGUGAAUAGCUGCAGCACCAUGAGUGUCUUAUUUGUUAUUAGAAACUUGCAUAACUUAUAGGGGGCGGCACGGUGGAUGAGUGGGUAGCGCACAGCCUCACCUCACAGCUAGGAGACCAGGGUUCAAUUCCACCCUCGGCCAUCUCUGUGUGGGUUUUCUCCGGGUACUACGGGUUUCCUCCCACAUUCCAAAAACAUGCUAGCCACUCCAAAUUGUCCAUAGGUAUGAAUGUGAGUGUGAAUGGUUGUUUGUCUAUAUGUGCCCUGUGAUUGGCUGGCGACCAAUCCAGGGUGUACCCCGCCUCUCGCCCGAAGACAGCUGGGAUAGGCUCCAGCACCCCCGCGACCCUUGUGAGGAUAAGCGGUAGAAAAUGAAUGAAUGAAUGAAUGAAUGAAACUUAUAGGGGGCGGCACGGCGGAUGAGUGGUUAGCGCGCAGCCUCACCUCACAGCUAGGAGACCAGGGUUCAAUUCCACCCUCGGCCAUCUCUGUGGGUUUUCUCUGGGUACUACGGGUUUCCUCCCACAUUCCAAAAACAUGCUAGGUUAAUUAGCGACUCCAAAUUGUCCAUAGGUAUGAAUGUGAGUGUGAAUGGUUGUUUGUCUAUAUGUGCCCUGUGAUUGGCUGGCGACCAAUCCAGGGUGUACCCCGCCUCUCGCCCGAAGACAGCUGGGAUAGGCUCCAGCACCCCCGCGACCCUCGUGAGGAAAAAGCGGUAGAAAAUUAUGCUUUUCCACUUUUCUGACCUAUACAUAUUGUUACAAUGUUGUAUUCUCGUAUUAAACGAUGCCAAAGCGUCACAUAAUAAGGAUUUCGCAUUUGGAAGUGAGCCCUGAAAGAAGUUUUGGGUUUUACCGAGUUCGAGUCAAUGCAACCCAGACUUCCUUAUAUGGGCUGUAAGUAACAAUUUAUCAGUGUCCAAACUUUUGUAGAAGUAACGGGACAAAUGAGCUCGGCAGCUGUCCGGAAGUCCUCGGGAGCGCUUGAGAGUGUGACCAGUAACUUAAACAGACCGUUUGGGCAGGAAGUAAGAAAUCCAUGGAAACACUGCAGCAUCUGGAAGAUCUAGAAAGCUUUCUGUGUGGGUUAUUGUGUGAAGCUGUUCUAUAGGAGUUCACAAAAAUGAAAAUGAGCAUAAUAGGUCCCUUUUAAUGAUACUAAUGCUUUUUCCCCCUGCGCUUUUAAAAUUGUAUGUAUACAUUUCUUGCAAAAGUACCACUUUAUUCUUAUAAUAUUGGGAAUUUAAUGUUUUUAUGUUUCCUUCUAAAUGAUCCACAGGUAUGAAUGUGAGCGUGAAUGGUUGUUUGUCUAUAUGUGCUCUGAUUGGCUGGAGACCAGUCCAGGGUGUACCCCGCCUCUCGCCCGAAGACAGCUGGGAUAGGCUCCAGCACCCCCCGCGACCCUCGUGAGGAUAAGUGGUAGAAAAUGAAUGAUUGAAUGAAUGAAACUUAUACGGGCUUACCUCAUUUUUGCCAUCUCCAGUAAAGUCACAAAGCACAAGGGAUCUCACAUUAUCUCCAGUUACCUUAGAAAAAAAUGUUUUUCAAAAUCGACAAAUGUAGACAUAAUUAACUGUUUAACGUUGCCAGUGUAAAAUAUAAAGAGGGCUUUUAACAUUUGUUAUUUCUUAGUUCUUACAGUCCAGAAGUGGUCAUUGCCAUGAGAGUCAAAGCCUUGUAUGGCACAGUUGCCGCCAAUGAUGGAAAGAGGAUUCGGUAUGUCCCCUAGCUUCCCUAGCACUAUAGCGUUGGCCCCAUCGGACACCUACACAAACACACACCGAAAUAAAGUGAGAGAGCAAUUAGAGGAAUGAAUUACCUGUGCAAAAUGACAACACGUACCUCUUUGUAGAAUAUGUCUACGUUGUCAUGGACAUCAUAGGCCAGCAGGUUGGUCUGAGAUCCCACCAGCAGUGUGUCACCAGUGGUGUCUAGUCCCAGUGUGCCUGCAGUCAGACAUGUGACUGCCUGGUUGAUGUUGAGCAGAGAGACGUCUGAAUCCUGUGUGCUUUGGCUCAGACGGUGAGACGCAGGUCUUUGAGCACGAGUGUGAGGGUUGUGGAUAAAAACCUUAAAUAAGAAAAUUCAAAAGUAAGCUUUGGGAACUACAAGAUAACGUUUCAUAUAAAAAAUGUUUAAUGUUCACCUUUCCAGCUUGUGUGGCUGCAGUGAGGCAUGGGUGGACGCCAUCAAAUUUUCCUAUAGUCACCAUGCGAGGGUUUAUUUUAUGGCUCAGUUUGAGAGUAAAAAUGGGCACCAACAUGAUUCAUAUGCUCCUGAAAAGGGAAAAAAAGAGCUUUGAUUAUAAAUCAAACAAAUCAGUACUUAAGUGGACCAGCAGUUUGUAGCCAUGCAUGUUAGCAGUUCACAAUGCGUGAUUUUGUGGCACUAAUGUCAUUACCAGAUUUGCACUAGCGUUCUGUUGCCUAGCAACAAAAAAGUGUCACGCCAUAAUCUCCUGUAGUUUGGUCAACGGUCCUAUUUAUAUAGCAAUAAGAAUGCUAUGCAUACGGUUUCGCGAUUGUACUAUGGUACGCCAUCAAUACCAAGUAGAGUAACAACUAAUAGAAGCUAAUAACAAUUCGCCUUCAGUGGCUUAAGAGGCUAGCAUAGCAGAGCUAACGUGAACGACACUAAAUCAAUAAACUACAAGAUAGCAGAGAAAGGAAACAAAGCGUGUACGUACAAGUCCUCUGGCGAUAUCCCGAACUCAAAAUAACAAAACAAUCUUUUUUUUUUAAUUAAAACGAGAUUCAGUACUAAGACAACAGCGGAAGAAAAACGAUUAGGAGCUUUGCUAUUCACUACCAUUUCCUAUAUAAGUUUUUCAAAAUAAAAGUUUUUUAAAAGACCGCGCGUCUUAGGAGAUCAAUGAAGCAAGUGAAUACAAAAUGGUGUUUUUUGGUAGAAGUGACGUUUGAGUGCAAAAGCAGUAUGGCUCAUGAAACACAGCUUUUUGCCGUGCUUAUUUAUUGAAAUUGGCAUAUAUAGCUAUUCCAUUAUUAAUAUCUGGUCAAACAAUAAACCUUUUUACCUUGUAAUUAACCUGGAGAUAUACUCUUUGGUUUGAUGCAUGUCAAGUGGUGGAUGUGGAGUGUGCCCAUCUGCCAUACAAGGUGACUUGAUAAGCAAAUGGGCUCUAAACACAAAUAAAUGGCGCCCUGAGCAAUUGACCUUAUGGCCGAAAGCUAGAACCAUCACUGACGAGGGGUGUCCAAAGUACAUAAGGGGAUCAUUUACCACCCACUGCCCUUUUUUUGGCUCUCAGCAUAUUUUGAAAUUUUAAAAUUAUUAGUAAGUUGGUUUGUCUCAUGAGAUUUCUCAUUGAAAACAAUUCUUUAUAAAUACCUUACACACAAAUCAUGGAUGUCUCAAGAAAAUAUAAAAAAAUUGAGAGGCAAAAGUCUGAAAAUAUUUACAUUUUAAUAUAAAAAAACAUGAAUACCAAAAUAGUUGUCAAUUCAUUGGAUAAUCUAACAAUCAUUGAUGAAUUGUUGCAGCUCCAAUGCAAAACUCGUCUACGGUCGUCCUUGGUGCUGCUUUUAAGGACCCAGAGGAAAUCGGAAAGUCUUGUUCCCUGUGCGGCAGCGCAGUUCUGCACAGUCCAGCCACAGAUGAUACGGCCCCUCUUCAUGAUUAUCAACCACAUUCUGAGCAAUGAAAGAAGAGUCAGUGAUCAUCGCCGUAACACACAGGUACAUACUAGGUAGUGGAACAGCACCUGAAGCUCCUGAAGGCACUGCCUCAAUUGCGAAGUGAAGUCUCCAACACACCAGGCCAGGCUAACAUGGAAAGAUGGAUCCUACAAGACACAGCGGUAGCGAUAUGAGGAUGUGCAAGAUAAAACGUAGAGAUAGUUAAAUAUAUUGUCGUUGUACUCAUCGAUAACCUGAUAAAAAGUAUCCAGGUGAAACUCUGUCAUUGCUUUAUCAAUGACUUGGACUACAUCCAGCAACUGUUUAUGCCCAUUUAGUACUUCCAUCCCAAGGAAAGUCCUGUAGAGAAAAAGUCAGAUACUCGGUAAAUGAGUAUCUUGAGUUUAAGGAGAAAAUUAUAGUUUUAUACAAAGAGGAUUCAGACUUUACCUUGUCUUCUCUGCAUUACAAUAAACCUUAAGUCUACCCGCUGAGCACACAAAUCUGCAAACACACAUUUGAGCUCUUUUUACAACUCAAAAAUUGUGCACUCAACAAAAGUAUAAACAUAACACUUAUUUUUGCUCCCAUUUUUCAUGAGCUGAACUAAAAAAAAAAAUGGAUACUACCGACCCACCACCACAAGAUGCAAACCUUUUGCAGCGUGCCAGGCCGGCUUUGAGGUUCUGUGUGAAGGGCUGGAUCCAAUGGUGUCUCAGCACCACCGUCUGAGAGAGGCUAAGAUGGAGCUCCUCCUGCUGGGUCAAAACCACACCAA